Molecule: ribosomal RNA, 466 nt
Filed under: uncultured bacterium
Lineage: Bacteria
Description: partial 16S ribosomal RNA
Rfam family: Bacterial small subunit ribosomal RNA
Source: RNAcentral
ACGAACGCUGGCGGCGUGCUUCACACAUGCAAGUCGAACGGAAAGGCCCUGCUUUUGUGGGGUGCUCGAGUGGCGAACGGGUGAGUAACACGUGAGUAACCUGCCCUUGACUUUGGGAUAACUUCAGGAAACUGGGGCUAAUACCGGAUAGGAGCUCCUGCUGCAUGGUGGGGGUUGGAAAGUUUCGGCGGUUGGGGAUGGACUCGCGGCUUAUCAGCUUGUUGGUGGGGUAGUGGCUUACCAAGGCUCUGACGGGUAGCCGGCCUGAGAGGGUGACCGGCCACAUUGGGACUGAGAUACGGCCCAGACUCCUACGGGAGGCAGCAGUGGGGAAUAUUGCACAAUGGGCGGAAGCCUGAUGCAGCAACGCCGCGUGCGGGAUGACGGCCUUCGGGUUGUAAACCGCUUUCGCCUGUGACGAAGCGUGAGUGACGGUAAUGGGUAAAGAAGCACCGGCUAACUACGU